RNAcentral lists this small RNA (597 nucleotides) under Aspergillus fischeri. Its description in RNAcentral is "eukaryotic LSU rRNA". The stretch from base 179 to 333 matches the Rfam family "5.8S ribosomal RNA". The record is from RNAcentral. Lineage: Eukaryota; Fungi; Ascomycota; Eurotiomycetes; Eurotiales; Aspergillaceae.
GGAGGCAUCUGCGGUCCAUCUCCCACCCGUGUCUAUUGUACCUUGUUGCUUCGGCGGGCCCGCCGUUUCGACGGCCGCCGGGGAGGCCUCGCGCCCCCGGGCCCGCGCCCGCCGAAGACCCCAACAUGAACGCUGUUCUGAAAGUAUGCAGUCUGAGUUGAUUAUCAUAAUCAGUUAAAACUUUCAACAAACGGAUCUCUUGGUUCCGGCAUCGAUGAAGAACGCAGCGAAAUGCGAUAAGUAAUGUGAAUUGCAGAAUUCAGUGAAUCAUCGAGUCUUUGAACGCACAUUGCGCCCCCUGGUAUUCCGGGGGGCAUGCCUGUCCGAGCGUCAAUUGCUGGCCCUCAAAGCCACGGGCUUUGGUGGUUGUUGGGGCCCGCCCGUCCCCCGUGUUUCUCCCCCCGGGGGACGGGGCCCCGAAAAGGGGCCAGGGGCGGGCACCAGCUGGUUCCCGGGUUCCUCACGAAGCGUUAUUGGGCUUUCGGUUCACCACAGGUUCUGGUUAAGGCCCAUGGCCGGCGGCCAGGGCCGAACAGCCCACUUUAUUCUUAGGGUUUGGAACUCGACUCAGGUAAGGGGAUUACCCGUGAAAUUUGC